GAUUAACGCUGGCGGCGUGCAUAACACAUGCAAGUCGAACGAUGAAACUCAUUAGAUUUCUUCGGAAUGAAAAUGAAUGGAUUAGUGGCGAACGGGUGAGUAACGCGUAAGUAACCUGCCUUACACAAGGGGAUAGCCUCUGGAAACGGAGAAUAAUACCCUAUGAAACCAGACAAUCGCAUGAUAAUCUGGUCAAAAUGUUUAGUGGUGUAAGAUGGACUUGCGUCUGAUUAGCUAGUUGGUGAAAUAAAAGCUCACCAAGGCAACGAUCAGUAGCCGGCUUGAGAGAGUGUACGGCCACAUUGGGACUGAGACACGGCCCAGACUCCUACGGGAGGCAGCAGUGGGGAAUUUUGCACAAUGGGGGAAACCCUGAUGCAGCGACGCCGCGUGAUUUAGAAGGCCUUCGGGUUGUAAAAAUCUUUUGUAUAGGAAGAAAAUGACAGUACUAUACGAAUAAGGUCCGGCUAAUUACGUG
Molecule: ribosomal RNA, 478 nt
Filed under: uncultured bacterium
Lineage: Bacteria
Description: partial 16S ribosomal RNA
Rfam family: Bacterial small subunit ribosomal RNA
Source: RNAcentral